This is a non-coding RNA of Acanthosepion pharaonis, 85 nucleotides long. The record is from the annotation of a GenBank genome assembly. Lineage: Eukaryota; Metazoa; Mollusca; Cephalopoda; Sepiida; Sepiidae.
UUACGGCCACAUCACGUUGGAACACCGGUUCCCGUAUGAUCGCCUAAGUUAAGCCUGGUCGAGCCUGGUCAGUACCUAGAUGGGA